AACGAACGCUGGCGGCAUGCCUAACACAUGCAAGUCGAACGAGACCUCCGUGUCUAGUUGCGCUCGGGUGCGUAACGCGUGGGAAUCUGCCCUUGGGUUCGGAAUACUUCGCUGUAAGGCGUGCUAAUACCGGAUGAUGUAGUAAGUCAAAGGAUUUAUCGCCCAAGGGUGAGCCCGAGUUGGUUUAGCUUGUUGGUGAGGUAAAGGCUGAUCAAGGCGUCGAUCGAUAGCUGGUCUGAGAGAAUGAUCAGCCACACUGGGGGUGAGACACGGCCGAGAAUCCUACGGGAGGGAGCGGAGGGGGAUAUUGGACAAUGGGCGAGGGGCUGAUCCAGCUAUGCCGCGUAAGUGAUGAUGGCGGUAGGGAAGUGAAGCUCUUUUACCCGGGGUGAUAAUGACGGUACCGGGAGAAUAAGCUCCGGCUAACUCCGUG
This 433-nucleotide ribosomal RNA is filed under the name uncultured bacterium. Its description in RNAcentral is "partial 16S ribosomal RNA". It matches the Rfam family "Bacterial small subunit ribosomal RNA", at positions 29 to 507 of the family's 1533-position model. The record is from RNAcentral.